UUCGGAGAUGGCAAGCGUUGUUCGGAAUCACUGGGCGUAAAGCGCGCGUAGGCGGCCGGGCAAGUUGGAGGUGAAAUCCUGUGGCUCAACUGCAGAAUGGCCUGCAAUACUGCUCGGCUUGAGGACGGCAGGGGGGAGCAGAACUCCUGGUGGAGCGGUGAAAUGCGUAGAUAUCAGGAGGAAUGCCGGCGGCGAAAGCGGCUCCCUGGGCCGUUCCUGACGCUGAGUGUGCGAAAGCUAGGGGAGCGAACGGGAUUAGAUACCCCUGUA
Molecule: ribosomal RNA, 270 nt
Filed under: uncultured prokaryote
Description: partial 16S ribosomal RNA
Rfam family: Bacterial small subunit ribosomal RNA
Source: RNAcentral